UCCCGCGUAGCUCAAUGGAUAGAGCACCCCUCUCCUACAGGGAAGGUUGCAGGUUCGAGUCCUGUUGCGGGAA
RNAcentral lists this transfer RNA (73 nucleotides) under Enterococcus sp. RNAcentral describes it as "tRNA-Arg". It matches the Rfam family "tRNA". From Rfam's summary of the family: Transfer RNA (tRNA) molecules are approximately 80 nucleotides in length. Their secondary structure includes four short double-helical elements and three loops (D, anti-codon, and T loops). Lineage: Bacteria; Bacillati; Bacillota; Bacilli; Lactobacillales; Enterococcaceae. The record is from RNAcentral.